UUUCCGUAGGUGAACCUGCGGAAGGAUCAUUACGAGAUUGCGUGCAAGCGCAAGUUCAACCCUGAGUUCACAAUGGUAGCUUUGGCGAUCCGCAGUUGAUCGACUCCACUGAUGUUUAUGAGUGAGUGAUAGCCAAAGGAAUAAACUCCAAGUUUGUGUAGUCAAAAUAAAAACAUAAAUAAAACUUUCAACAACGGAUCUCUUGGUUCUGGUGUCGAUGAAGAACGCAGC
RNAcentral lists this unclassified non-coding RNA (231 nucleotides) under uncultured fungus. Its description in RNAcentral is "sequence contains ITS1, 5.8S rRNA gene". The stretch from base 183 to 231 matches the Rfam family "5.8S ribosomal RNA", at positions 1 to 49 of the family's 154-position model. The record is from RNAcentral. Lineage: Eukaryota; Fungi.